This 252-nucleotide ribosomal RNA is filed under the name uncultured bacterium. Its description in RNAcentral is "partial 16S ribosomal RNA". It matches the Rfam family "Bacterial small subunit ribosomal RNA", at positions 57 to 305 of the family's 1533-position model. The record is from RNAcentral.
GCAAGUCGAACGGUAACAUGAACUAGCUUGCUAGUUUGAUGACGAGUGGCGGACGGGUGAGUAAUGCUUGGGGAUCUGCCUUGAGGUGGGGGACCACAGUUGGAAACGACUGCUAAUACCGCAUAAUGUCUACGGACCAAAGUGGGGGCUCUUCGGACCUCACGCCGUUGGAUGAACCCAAGUGAGAUUAGCUAGUUGGUGGGGUAAAGGCUUACCAAGGCGACGAUCUCUAGCUGGUCUGAGAGGAUGAUC